RNAcentral lists this ribosomal RNA (433 nucleotides) under uncultured bacterium. RNAcentral describes it as "partial 16S ribosomal RNA". It matches the Rfam family "Bacterial small subunit ribosomal RNA", at positions 29 to 507 of the family's 1533-position model. The record is from RNAcentral.
AACGAACGCUGGCGGCAUGCCUAACACAUGCAAGUCGAACGAGACCUUCGGGUCUAGUGGCGCACGGGUGCGUAACGCGUGGGAACCUGCCCUUAGGUUCGGAAUAACUCCCCGAAAGGGGUGCUAAUACCGGAUAAUGUCUUCGGACCAAAGAUUUAUCGCCUUUGGUGGGGCCCGCGUUGGAUUAGCUAGUUGGUAGGGUAAAAGCCUACCAAGGCGACGAUCCAUAGCUGGUCUGAGAGGAUGAUCAGCCACACUGGGACUGAGACACGGCCCAGACUCCUACGGGAGGCAGCAGUGGGGAAUAUUGGACAAUGGGCGAAAGCCUGAUCCAGCAAUGCCGCGUGAGUGAUGAAGGCCUUAGGGUUGUAAAGCUCUUUUACCCGGGAUGAUAAUGACAGUACCGGGAGAAUAAGCUCCGGCUAACUCCGUG